RNAcentral lists this transfer RNA (71 nucleotides) under Ovis aries (sheep). It matches the Rfam family "tRNA". From Rfam's summary of the family: Transfer RNA (tRNA) molecules are approximately 80 nucleotides in length. Lineage: Eukaryota; Metazoa; Chordata; Mammalia; Artiodactyla; Bovidae. The record is from Rfam by way of RNAcentral.
UCCUAGUGACUCAGAUGAUAAAGAGUCUGCCUGCAAAGCAGGAGACCCAGGUUCAAUCCCUGGGUUGGGAG